UUAAGCGACUAAGCGUACACGGUGGAUGCCCUGGCAGUCAGAGGCGAUGAAGGACGUGCUAAUCUGCGAUAAGCGUCGGUAAGGUGAUAUGAACCGUUAUAACCGGCGAUUUCCGAAUGGGGAAACCCAGUGUGUUUCGACACACUAUCAUUAACUGAAUCCAUAGGUUAAUGAGGCGAACCGGGGGAACUGAAACAUCUAAGUACCCCGAGGAAAAGAAAUCAACCGAGAUUCCCCCAGUAGCGGCGAGCGAACGGGGAGCAGCCCAGAGCCUGAAUCAGUGUGUGUGUUAGUGGAAGCGUCUGGAAAGGCGCGCGAUACAGGGUGACAGCCCCGUACACAAAAAUGCACAUGCUGUGAGCUCGAUGAGUAGGGCGGGACACGUGGUAUCCUGUCUGAAUAUGGGGGGACCAUCCUCCAAGGCUAAAUACUCCUGACUGACCGAUAGUGAACCAGUACCGUGAGGGAAAGGCGAAAAGAACCCCGGCGAGGGGAGUGAAAAAGAACCUGAAACCGUGUACGUACAAGCAGUGGGAGCACGCUUAGGCGUGUGACUGCGUACCUUUUGUAUAAUGGGUCAGCGACUUAUAUUCUGUAGCAAGGUUAACCGAAUAGGGGAGCCGAAGGGAAACCGAGUCUUAACUGGGCGUUAAGUUGCAGGGUAUAGACCCGAAACCCGGUGAUCUAGCCAUGGGCAGGUUGAAGGUUGGGUAACACUAACUGGAGGACCGAACCGACUAAUGUUGAAAAAUUAGCGGAUGACUUGUGGCUGGGGGUGAAAGGCCAAUCAAACCGGGAGAUAGCUGGUUCUCCCCGAAAGCUAUUUAGGUAGCGCCUCGUGAAUUCAUCUCCGGGGGUAGAGCACUGUUUCGGCAAGGGGGUCAUCCCGACUUACCAACCCGAUGCAAACUGCGAAUACCGGAGAAUGUUAUCACGGGAGACACACGGCGGGUGCUAACGUCCGUCGUGAAGAGGGAAACAACCCAGACCGCCAGCUAAGGUCCCAAAGUCAUGGUUAAGUGGGAAACGAUGUGGGAAGGCCCAGACAGCCAGGAUGUUGGCUUAGAAGCAGCCAUCAUUUAAAGAAAGCGUAAUAGCUCACUGGUCGAGUCGGCCUGCGCGGAAGAUGUAACGGGGCUAAACCAUGCACCGAAGCUGCGGCAGCGACGCUUAUGCGUUGUUGGGUAGGGGAGCGUUCUGUAAGCCUGCGAAGGUGUGCUGUGAGGCAUGCUGGAGGUAUCAGAAGUGCGAAUGCUGACAUAAGUAACGAUAAAGCGGGUGAAAAGCCCGCUCGCCGGAAGACCAAGGGUUCCUGUCCAACGUUAAUCGGGGCAGGGUGAGUCGACCCCUAAGGCGAGGCCGAAAGGCGUAGUCGAUGGGAAACAGGUUAAUAUUCCUGUACUUGGUGUUACUGCGAAGGGGGGACGGAGAAGGCUAUGUUGGCCGGGCGACGGUUGUCCCGGUUUAAGCGUGUAGGCUGGUUUUCCAGGCAAAUCCGGAAAAUCAAGGCUGAGGCGUGAUGACGAGGCACUACGGUGCUGAAGCAACAAAUGCCCUGCUUCCAGGAAAAGCCUCUAAGCAUCAGGUAACAUCAAAUCGUACCCCAAACCGACACAGGUGGUCAGGUAGAGAAUACCAAGGCGCUUGAGAGAACUCGGGUGAAGGAACUAGGCAAAAUGGUGCCGUAACUUCGGGAGAAGGCACGCUGAUAUGUAGGUGAGGUCCCUCGCGGAUGGAGCUGAAAUCAGUCGAAGAUACCAGCUGGCUGCAACUGUUUAUUAAAAACACAGCACUGUGCAAACACGAAAGUGGACGUAUACGGUGUGACGCCUGCCCGGUGCCGGAAGGUUAAUUGAUGGGGUUAGCCGCAAGGCGAAGCUCUUGAUCGAAGCCCCGGUAAACGGCGGCCGUAACUAUAACGGUCCUAAGGUAGCGAAAUUCCUUGUCGGGUAAGUUCCGACCUGCACGAAUGGCGUAAUGAUGGCCAGGCUGUCUCCACCCGAGACUCAGUGAAAUUGAACUCGCUGUGAAGAUGCAGUGUACCCGCGGCAAGACGGAAAGACCCCGUGAACCUUUACUAUAGCUUGACACUGAACAUUGAGCCUUGAUGUGUAGGAUAGGUGGGAGGCUUGGAAGUGUGGACGCCAGUCUGCAUGGAGCCGACCUUGAAAUACCACCCUUUAAUGUUUGAUGUUCUAACGUUGACCCGUAAUCCGGGUUGCGGACAGUGUCUGGUGGGUAGUUUGACUGGGGCGGUCUCCUCCUAAAGAGUAACGGAGGAGCACGAAGGUUGGCUAAUCCUGGUCGGACAUCAGGAGGUUAGUGCAAUGGCAUAAGCCAGCUUGACUGCGAGCGUGACGGCGCGAGCAGGUGCGAAAGCAGGUCAUAGUGAUCCGGUGGUUCUGAAUGGAAGGGCCAUCGCUCAACGGAUAAAAGGUACUCCGGGGAUAACAGGCUGAUACCGCCCAAGAGUUCAUAUCGACGGCGGUGUUUGGCACCUCGAUGUCGGCUCAUCACAUCCUGGGGCUGAAGUAGGUCCCAAGGGUAUGGCUGUUCGCCAUUUAAAGUGGUACGCGAGCUGGGUUUAGAACGUCGUGAGACAGUUCGGUCCCUAUCUGCCGUGGGCGCUGGAGAACUGAGGGGGGCUGCUCCUAGUACGAGAGGACCGGAGUGGACGCAUCACUGGUGUUCGGGUUGUCAUGCCAAUGGCACUGCCCGGUAGCUAAAUGCGGAAGAGAUAAGUGCUGAAAGCAUCUAAGCACGAAACUUGCCCCGAGAUGAGUUCUCCCUGACUCCUUGAGAGUCCUGAAGGAACGUUGAAGACGACGACGUUGAUAGGCCGGGUGUGUAAGCGCAGCGAUGCGUUGAGCUAACCGGUACUAAUGAACCGUGAGGCUUAACCUU
This 2904-nucleotide ribosomal RNA is filed under the name Escherichia coli 5-172-05_S4_C1. Its description in RNAcentral is "bacterial LSU rRNA". It matches the Rfam family "Bacterial large subunit ribosomal RNA". Lineage: Bacteria; Pseudomonadati; Pseudomonadota; Gammaproteobacteria; Enterobacterales; Enterobacteriaceae. The record is from RNAcentral.